Molecule: ribosomal RNA, 869 nt
Filed under: uncultured archaeon
Lineage: Archaea
Description: bacterial SSU rRNA
Rfam family: Archaeal small subunit ribosomal RNA
Source: RNAcentral
CCUCCGGUGGAUCCCGCGGGACCCGACUGCUAUCAGAGUGGGACUAAGCCAUGCGAGUCAACAUAGCAAUAUGUGGCAUACGGCUCAGUAACACGUAGUCAACAUGCCCAGGGGACGUGGAUAACCUCGGGAAACUGAGGAUAAACCGCGAUAGGUCAUCACUUCUGGAAUGGGUAAUGACUUAAAUCUAUAUGGCCCCUGGAUUGGACUGCGGCCGAUCAGGCUGUUGGUGAGGUAAUGGCCCACCAAACCUGUAACCGGUACGGGCUCUGAGAGGAGGAGCCCGGAGAUGGGCACUGAGACAAGGGCCCAGGCCCUAUGGGGCGCAGCAGGCGCGAAACCUCUGCAAUAGGCGAAAGCUUGACAGGGUUACUCUGAGUGAUUUCCGUUAAGGAGAUCUUUUGGCACCUCUAAAAAUGGUGCAGAAUAAGGGGUGGGCAAGUCUGGUGUCAGCCGCCGCGGUAAUACCAGCACCCCGAGUGGUCGGGACGUUUAUUGGGCCUAAAGCAUCCGUAGCCGGUUCUACAAGUCUUCCGUUAAAUCCACCUGCUUAACAGAUGGGCUGCGGAAGAUACUAUAGAGCUAGGAGGCGGGAGAGGCAAGCGGUACUCGAUGGGUAGGGGUAAAAUCCGUUGAUCCAUUGAAGACCACCAGUGGCGAAGGCGGCUUGCCAGAACGCGCUCGACGGUGAGGGAUGAAAGCUGGGGGAGCAAACCGGAUUAGAUACCCGGGUAGUCCCAGCUGUAAACGAUGCAGACUCGGUGAUGAGUUGGCUUAUUGCUAACUCAGUGCCGCAGGGAAGCCGUUAAGUUUGCCGCCUGGGGAGUACGGUCGCAAGACUGAAACUUAAAGGAAUUGGCGGGGGAGCA